UGGGGAAUAUUGCACAAUGGGCGCAAGCCUGAUGCAGCCAUGCCGCGUGUAUGAAGAAGGCCUUCGGGUUGUAAAGUACUUUCAGUCGGGAGGAAGGCGAUAAGGUUAAUAACCUCAUCGAUUGACGUUACCCGCAGAAGAAGCACCGGCUAACUCCGUGCCAGCAGCCGCGGUAAUACGGAGGGUGCAAGCGUUAAUCGGAAUUACUGGGCGUAAAGCGCACGCAGGCGGUCUGUCAAGUCGGAUGUGAAAUCCCCGGGCUCAACCUGGGAACUGCAUUCGAAACUGGCAGGCUAGAGUCUUGUAGAGGGGGGUAGAAUUCCAGGUGUAGCGGUGAAAUGCGUAGAGAUCUGGAGGAAUACCGGUGGCGAAGGCGGCCCCCUGGACAAAGACUGACGCUCAGGUGCGAAAGCGUGGGGAGCAAACAGG
RNAcentral lists this ribosomal RNA (429 nucleotides) under Chloroflexota bacterium. Its description in RNAcentral is "Chloroflexi bacterium partial 16S ribosomal RNA". It matches the Rfam family "Bacterial small subunit ribosomal RNA", at positions 355 to 776 of the family's 1533-position model. The record is from RNAcentral. Lineage: Bacteria; Bacillati; Chloroflexota.